This 816-nucleotide ribosomal RNA is filed under the name Borreliella garinii. Its description in RNAcentral is "bacterial SSU rRNA". It matches the Rfam family "Bacterial small subunit ribosomal RNA", at positions 44 to 859 of the family's 1533-position model. Lineage: Bacteria; Pseudomonadati; Spirochaetota; Spirochaetia; Spirochaetales; Borreliaceae. The record is from RNAcentral.
GCGUCUUAAGCAUGCAAGUCAAACGGGAUGUAGCAAUACAUCUAGUGGCGAACGGGUGAGUAACGCGUGGAUGAUCUACCUACGAGAUGGGGAUAACUAUUAGAAAUAGUAGCUAAUACCGAAUAAAGUCAAUUAAUUUGUUAGUUGAUGAAAGGAAGCCUUUAAAGCUUCGCUUGUAGAUGAGUCUGCGUCUUAUUAGCUAGUUGGUAGGGUAAAUGCCUACCAAGGCGAUGAUAAGUAGCCGGCCUGAGAGGGUGAACGGUCACACUGGAACUGAGAUACGGUCCAGACUCCUACGGGAGGCAGCAGCUAAGAAUCUUCCGCAAUGGGCGAAAGCCUGACGGAGCGACACUGCGUGAAUGAAGAAGGUCGAAAGAUUGUAAAAUUCUUUUAUAAAUGAGGAAUAAGCUUUGUAGGAAAUGACAAAGUGAUGACGUUAAUUUAUGAAUAAGCCCCGGCUAAUUACGUGCCAGCAGCCGCGGUAAUACGUAAGGGGCGAGCGUUGUUCGGGAUUAUUGGGCGUAAAGGGUGAGUAGGCGGAUAUGUAAGUCUAUGCAUAAAAUACCACAGCUCAACUGUGGAACUAUGUUGGAAACUAUAUGUCUAGAGUCUGAUAGAGGAAGUUAGAAUUUCUGGUGUAAGGGUGGAAUCUGUUGAUAUCAGAAAGAAUACCGGAGGCGAAGGCGAACUUCUGGGUCAAGACUGACGCUGAGUCACGAAAGCGUAGGGAGCAAACAGGAUUAGAUACCCUGGUAGUCUACGCUGUAAACGAUGCACACUUGGUGUUAACUAAAAGUUAGUACCGAAGCUAACGUG